Molecule: ribosomal RNA, 253 nt
Filed under: uncultured bacterium
Lineage: Bacteria
Description: partial 16S ribosomal RNA
Rfam family: Bacterial small subunit ribosomal RNA
Source: RNAcentral
UACGAAGGGGGCUAGCGUUGCUCGGAAUCACUGGGCGUAAAGCGCACGUAGGCGGUACGGUAAGUAAGGUGUGAAAGCCCCAGGCUUAACCUGGGGAGGUCAUCUUCGACUGCCGCACUCGAGUCGUGCAGAGGGUGGUGGAAUUGCCGGUGUAGUGGUGAAAUGCGUAGAGAUCGGCAGGAACACCAAGGGCGAAAGCAGCCACCUGGGCACGUACUGACGCUGAGGUGCGAAAGCGUGGGGAGCGAACCGG